UAACAAUGUUGGCCAAUUCAUGAAGUCUCACAGUCUGUGUUUUUCGGCACAUGCAGCCGACUGCUGCGCCGCAGCCCACAGAGUGGAGGACUCAACAUCCUGGAAAAAAGUUUAGCUCUUGGUUUCCAGAUGGUGGACGGAGCUGCUGAAGGCACCAUGGGGGGAGAGGGAAGAGACUGCUGCUGGAGGAGAACAGCACUGAGGAACACCAUCGGUACAGUAACUGCAGGAAUUGAAGAAAGA
Long non-coding RNA from Cynoglossus semilaevis (tongue sole), 243 nucleotides. RefSeq lists it as uncharacterized. The record is from RefSeq and is a predicted model, not a curated record. The transcript has 2 exons. NCBI's taxonomy places the organism in Eukaryota, Metazoa, Chordata, Actinopteri, Pleuronectiformes, Cynoglossidae.